GACGAACGCUGGCGGCGUGCUUAACACAUGCAAGUCGAACGGAAAGGCCCUUCGGGGUACUCGAGUGGCGAACGGGUGAGUAACACGUGGGUGAUCUGCCCUGCACUUUGGGAUAAGCCUGGGAAACUGGGUCUAAUACCGAAUAGGACCACGCGCUUCAUGGUGUGUGGUGGAAAGCUUUUGCGGUGUGGGAUGGGCCCGCGGCCUAUCAGCUUGUUGGUGGGGUAAUGGCCUACCAAGGCGACGACGGGUAGCCGGCCUGAGAGGGUGACCGGCCACACUGGGACUGAGAUACGGCCCAGACUCCUACGGGAGGCAGCAGUGGGGAAUAUUGCACAAUGGGCGCAAGCCUGAUGCAGCGACGCCGCGUGAGGGAUGACGGCCUUCGGGUUGUAAACCUCUUUCGCCAGGGACGAAGCGCAAGUGACGGUACCUGGAGAAGAAGGACCGGCCAACUACGUGCCAGCCGCCGCCGUAA
RNAcentral lists this ribosomal RNA (478 nucleotides) under uncultured bacterium. Its description in RNAcentral is "partial 16S ribosomal RNA". It matches the Rfam family "Bacterial small subunit ribosomal RNA", at positions 28 to 523 of the family's 1533-position model. The record is from RNAcentral.